GACGGAGGGUGCAAGCGUUGUUCGGAUUGACUGGGCGUAAAGGGCGUGUAGGCGGUUGGUCAAGUCUGAUGUGAAAGCCCGGGGCUCAGCUUCGGAAGGGCAUCGGAAACUAGCCAGCUGGAGCGCGAUAGAGGAGGGCGGAAUUCCUGGUGUAGCGGUGAAAUGCGUAGAUAUCAGGAGGAACACCGGCGGCGAAGGCGGCCCUCUGGAUCGUUGCUGACGCUGAGACGCGAAAGCGUGGGGAG
Molecule: ribosomal RNA, 245 nt
Filed under: uncultured bacterium
Lineage: Bacteria
Description: partial 16S ribosomal RNA
Rfam family: Bacterial small subunit ribosomal RNA
Source: RNAcentral